AGUGAACGCUGGCGGUAGGCCUAACACAUGCAAGUCGAACGGCAGCACAGUAAGAGCUUGCUCUUACGGGUGGCGAGUGGCGGACGGGUGAGGAAUACAUCGGAAUCUACUUUUUCGUGGGGGAUAACGUAGGGAAACUUACGCUAAUACCGCAUACGACCUACGGGUGAAAGCAGGGGAUCUUCGGACUUUGCGCGAUUGAAUGAGCCGAUGUCGGAUUAGCUAGUUGGCGGGGUAAAGGCCCACCAAGGCGACGAUCCGUAGCUGGUCUGAGAGGGUGAUCAGCGACACUGGAACUGAGACACGGUCCAGACUCCUGCGGGAGGCAGCGGUGGGGAAUAUUGGACAAUGGGCGCAAGCCUGAUCCAGCCAUACCGCGUGGGUGAAGAAGGCCUUCGGGUUGUAAAGCCCUUUUGUUGGGAAAGAAAAGCAGCAGGUUAAUACCCCGCUGUUCUGACGGUACCCAAAGAAUAAGCACCGGCUAACUUCGUG
Molecule: ribosomal RNA, 492 nt
Filed under: uncultured bacterium
Lineage: Bacteria
Description: partial 16S ribosomal RNA
Rfam family: Bacterial small subunit ribosomal RNA
Source: RNAcentral